UGACAGUGAAACUCUGCAGGAGGCGUUAAUAUUGCCUAUAUCUAUUGUUGCAUUCUUUUAUAGAGUGUAGCGAUGACACCAUGAGAGAAGAGUAGGCUUUGAGCAAGAUUAAAAUCGGGUACAUUUAAGGGUGAAUUUAAUGCCCAAGGUGUAUAAGGUGUAUGAUGUGGCAUUGAUAUCUAUAAUGUAGAAUGUGAUUGGUCCACUAAUAUCGAUUUUCUUAGUAAGGUUAUUUUGCUUGUAUAAAAAGAAAAGGAAUUCACAAUUUGUAGAAGGUGUUUGAUAUUACGAUUACUAGGCUACACAGAGGCAAAUGAAGGUGCAAGAAUGAUUGGACAAAGGCUUUUGAAAGCUACAUAUUCAAUUUGUUGUUAAGAGAUUCAAACCUUUUUUUGGGUAGUGUGAAGAUGUUAAGAGGCUCUAUAAAGGCAUGAGGAAAACUAUUUGUGAGGUACAAUUCACAAGAAAUAGCCAUUUUUAUGUUAAAUCACAUUUUAUUUCAUUUUGGCCAUCAUUUUGUCAAGCACAAAAAUUUAAUGGACGUUUGUUAGGAACAACUUUUUUUUAAAUGUGAGGAUUCACUAAGGGAAGAAGAAGAUAGCAACAUAGGAAGGUGUAAGGAUUUCAACGGAAUGAGCAUGUAUAGGAGUGCACAAGCAACAUUUGUCUAAAGGGGUCACAUCAAAGGUUGGAGGAAAUGGAGGCAGGAGGACAUCUAUCAUCCUGAGAUAGCUUCUUGCUAAAGUAUGAUUCACUAAAUGAGAAGAAUCCUUUCACAUUUGUGUAACUAAACAAAAGAGGGGGCUUGGCAUGAUGCAUGUCCCUUCAAAGAGCAAGGGGGGCUACAUUUCUUGUGUUUGCACUUGGUGUAGUCAUGUUUGGUUGGUGAUUUGUGUAUCAGAGGAUGGAUGGUUUCCACAACACUGGAGGAGGUAUUAUAUGCACUUGAAGGAGAUGUAGACUUCAAGAGGAAAGGUGUCUUAUUUGGAACACUAGAGGAGGCAUUAGACAUACUCGAAGGAGAUGUAGAGUUUUAGAGGAAAGAUGUCUCAUUGUGCUUGGAGGUUGUGAACACUUUAUGUUCUCUCAUGUAGUGUAGAUGGUUGCAAGUUCUAUAGUGAGGAGAUCCAUUGAUGUAAUCAAUUUGGUGUUUCAUGGGUGAGCAAGGAGCAAUGGUGAAGGUGCUUCAUCAAAGUCUCCAGAAGGGUUGUUAUGAUCAACCCCUACAAUGUAUCAUCUUUUGUUCGAAGUAUUGUAAUAAGGGGAGAAUGUUCAAGAAUAUUACAUUA
Long non-coding RNA from Cryptomeria japonica (Japanese cedar), 1289 nucleotides. RefSeq lists it as uncharacterized. The record is from RefSeq and is a predicted model, not a curated record. NCBI's taxonomy places the organism in Eukaryota, Viridiplantae, Streptophyta, Pinopsida, Cupressales, Cupressaceae. The transcript has 2 exons.